RNAcentral lists this ribosomal RNA (252 nucleotides) under uncultured bacterium. RNAcentral describes it as "partial 16S ribosomal RNA". It matches the Rfam family "Bacterial small subunit ribosomal RNA", at positions 524 to 776 of the family's 1533-position model. The record is from RNAcentral.
UACGGAGGAUGCGAGCGUUAUCCGGAUUUAUUGGGUUUAAAGGGUGCGUAGGCGGAUCGUUAAGUCAGUGGUCAAAUUGAGGGGCUCAACCCCUUCCCGCCAUUGAAACUGGCGAUCUUGAGUGGAAGAGAAGUAUGCGGAAUGCGUGGUGUAGCGGUGAAAUGCAUAGAUAUCACGCAGAACCCCGAUUGCGAGGGCAGCAUGCCGGCUUCCUACUGACGCUGAAGCACGAAAGCGUGGGGAUCGAACAGG